GACCCUGGAUCAGUAUUACAGCCGCGAUGCACCUAAUUGACAGGAAGGAACCAUCUUUAUACUUUCAAGUCUCUUGUGCAAUUCCUUGGUGCAAUACAUUGGCUUUCCUCUUUGUGCAUCUCCUUUUAGCUCAACAAUCAACGAGUUCCCAAAACAAAGGUUCUCCAGUUUCUAAAAGUCAAUGCUAUUUCUUUGGGAACCAGUCACAUCUUGUAAUUUAUCACCUGUUGUGUUGUGUGAGAUGCUGCAGCGUAUAUUGGUUUUGUUUAAAUUCCAAUAACAUUAUAGGGGGCUUCUAGGUUUUAUGCUCAGCCGUUUUUAUGUAUGAAGCAAUUUUAUUGUUUUUCAUGGAC
RNAcentral lists this unclassified non-coding RNA (353 nucleotides) under Hevea brasiliensis (rubber tree). The record is from RNAcentral. Lineage: Eukaryota; Viridiplantae; Streptophyta; Magnoliopsida; Malpighiales; Euphorbiaceae.